RNAcentral lists this ribosomal RNA (1393 nucleotides) under Sebdenia flabellata. RNAcentral's name for it is "SSU rRNA". It matches the Rfam family "Bacterial small subunit ribosomal RNA". The record is from RNAcentral. Lineage: Eukaryota; Rhodophyta; Florideophyceae; Sebdeniales; Sebdeniaceae.
UAAGUUAAUAAAAGAGUUUGAUCCUGGCUCAGAAUGAACGUUUUUAGUUAGCUUAACACAUGCAAAUCAAAUAGUUUAUUUUAGUAAUAAUUAUAUGGUGAACGGGUGAGUAAUAUACAGAAAUUAACCUUAGAUAAAUUGUUUAAUACAUGAGAAAAAUUAAUUUGGUUUAAGAAAAGUCUGUAUAAGAUUAGGUAGUUGGUAAGUUAAAGUUUGCCAAGCCGACAAUCUUUAGUUGGUCUUUGAGGAUGAACAACCACAUUGGAAUUGAGAACGGUCCAGACUUUAUAUAAAGGCAGCAGUGGGGAAUUUUGGGCAAUGGGCGAAAGCUUGACCCAGCUAAGCUAUAUGUGUGAAAAAAUGAAUAAUUUUAAAGCAUUUUAGUAAAUAGGAUGAUGACUUAUUUACAAAAAGUCCUGGCUAAUUUCGUGCCAGCAGCCGCGGUAAAACGGGAAGGGCAAACGUUAUUCGAAUUAAUUGGGCGUAAAGUAUAUGUAGGUGGAAAAUUAAGUUUCAAUUUAAAGUUAAAAGUUUAUUUUUCAGAAAAUUGUUAAACUGAUUUUCUAGAGUUUAGUAAGAAGGUUUAUAGAAUUUUAAGUGUAACAGUAAAAUGUAUUGAUAUUUAAAAGAAUCUCAAUAGCGAAGGCAAUAACCUAUUCUAAAACUGACACUGAGAUAUUAAAGCAUGGGUAGCAAAAGGGAUUAGAUACCCCUGUAGUCCAUGCCCUGAACUAUGAAUGCUAAUUUUUGUAAAUUUAGAAAUAUAACUAACGUGUUAAGCAUUCCGCCUGGGAACUACGAUUGCAAAAUUAAAACUCAAAGGAAUUGACGGGGACCUACACAAGCAGUGGAGCAUGUGGUUUAAAUCGACAAUACGCGCGAAACCUUACCAAUUUUUGAAUAAUAUAAUAAUAUUACAGGUGUUGCAUGGCUGUCGUCAGUCCGUGCUGUGAAGCGUUUGGUUUAUUCCAACAAACGGACGAAACUUUUAUAAGUUAAAUAACUUAAACUGUUAAGGAUAUCUUAAAGGAAGGCAAAAAUGACGUCAAGUCCUCAUGACCCUAAUAUAUUGGGCUACUUUUCAUGUGCUACAAUAGUUUUUUCAAUAAGUAGCAAUGAUGUAAAUUUUAGCAAAACUUAAAAUAAAACUAUGUUCGGAUUGUUUUCUGAAACUUGAAAAUAUGAAGUUGGAAUUGCUAGUAAUCGUAAAUAAGAAUGUUACGGUGAAUUCGUUCUUAGGUCUUGUACACACCGCCCGUCACACUAUGGAAAUUCGUUUUAUUUGAAGACUGUUUUAUUGCAGUUCAUAGUAAAAGAAAAACUGGAGUGAAGUCGUAACAAGGUAGCCGUAGGGGAACCUGUGGCUGGAAAAUUAAGUGAAAUUCUACUAUCC